RNAcentral lists this long non-coding RNA (1222 nucleotides) under Citrus maxima (pomelo). RNAcentral describes it as "long non-coding RNA (CMAX_LNC001568)". The record is from RNAcentral. Lineage: Eukaryota; Viridiplantae; Streptophyta; Magnoliopsida; Sapindales; Rutaceae.
UGGACACAACAAAAGAUGAUUAACCAAAGAAUUCAAUUAUUUCAAUAGGCAGCCGCACCUCAACGGAGCAACAUGUUAUAUAAAAACAAAAUAAACCCCCCAUGCAGACAAUAGCUAAAAGGAAUUCAACAAAACACACUACCUCAAUACAACACACCGACACUGUCAUUACUUCCAUUCUUUCUAUUUUGAAACCACAACUGCUAAUGUCUUCCAUUCUUUCUAUUUUGAAACCAUAACUGCAAACGUGUUUGGAUAAAGCGGUAAAAAAAAAAAAAGAAACCACUGUUUCUCAAUCCCAAACUGAGUCCUCAAUGUCUUACAUCAGGACACAUUUUAUAUUUUUGAAAAUAUGGGACAAGAAAAUGAAAAUGCUUCUGGUUGGGGUUUUUAAAGCUUGCAAUUAUAGACUUUUAUCAGUGCUUUCAAUGAAAUUAUACCAGGAUUGCACUCAAAACUCCAAGACACUUUCCUAAUAUUUAAACUAACUAAAAAUCAAUAACCAAAUGCUCCCAAAUAUUUCAAGAGAUUUAAUCGGACCAUGACUGCAAGUUAGUAUUCAAAUUACAUUGCUGUGAUAUCAAUUAGUAGUAGUUCUAGAAAAGAUCUAAAGUGAGAAGUUGCUCAAAUCAUCAUGAGUGUUACUGCCAGUCGGCGCUGUCUGUGAUCCACUACUGCAUCCCCAUCCCCAUCCCCAUCCAUGAGAUGUUACAGAAUUAAGCCAUGUGUUAAUUCUAAUUUGAGGAUUAACUGCUCAAGUAAUUAUUUCUAUCGGAAUGUUUUUAUCAUAUCACACAAACCCAAAGACGAGCAAACACCCAGUAGGUCACCAUAUUUAGAUCUCAUUGAGUAAAAAAAAAAUGAGCAUGGUUUAUAAAAUUAAUUAAAAGUCGCCGUCACUUAACGUGAAGGCGUCAAAAUUUAUAUGCCGUCAUGCAGAUCUAGCAAUGAAAUGUACGGAUCUGAAAGAGAAACAGUUAGGAGAAGUGAAUGUUAGUUAGUUACCGGCGAUGUAGGUGGUGGCGGGGGUCUCGAAGCCGGCUUGGCAGGUGUCGCAGUACACGCGUCCUUCAACCGAGAACGGUUUAGGGUUGGGCCGGACCGCGCUCACCAGAGCCGGCAGCACGCAUAGAGCGAUCAACAACAAUAUUCUAGCCAUUGUCUUAUGGGAGAUGAAGGAAGCUGAACAAGAUUGAAUAUUGAGAGCAAAUGAGUGAAUUCU